CCUACGGGUGGCAGCAGUGAGGAAUAUUGGUCAAUGGACGAGAGUCUGAACCAGCCAAGUCGCGUGAAGGAUGACUGCCCUAUGGGUUGUAAACUUCUUUUAUAUGGGAAUAAAAUGUUCCACGUGUGGGGUUUUGUAUGUACCAUAUGAAUAAGGAUCGGCUAACUCCGUGCCAGCAGCCGCGGUAAUACGGAGGAUCCGAGCGUUUUCCGGAUUUCUGGGGUUUAAAGGGAGCGUAGGUGGAUUGUUAAGUCAGUUGUGAAAGUUUGCGGCUCAACCGUAAAAUUGCAGUUGAAACUGGCAGUCUUGAGUACAGUAGAGGUGGGCGGAAUUCGUGGUGUAGCGGUGGAAUGCUUAGAUAUCACGAAGAACGCCGAUUGCGAAGGCAGCUCACUGGACUGCAACUGACACUGAGGCUCGAAAGUGUGGGUAUCAAACAGGAUUAGAUACCCCUGUAGUC
This 460-nucleotide ribosomal RNA is filed under the name uncultured bacterium. RNAcentral describes it as "partial 16S ribosomal RNA". It matches the Rfam family "Bacterial small subunit ribosomal RNA", at positions 338 to 795 of the family's 1533-position model. The record is from RNAcentral.